RNAcentral lists this long non-coding RNA (2454 nucleotides) under Homo sapiens (human). RNAcentral describes it as "HSALNT0335260". Lineage: Eukaryota; Metazoa; Chordata; Mammalia; Primates; Hominidae. The record is from RNAcentral.
GCUGCUGCCUCAGGCUCUCACCUCCCUCUAGCGGCCGCCAAGGACAUCACACACGCCGAGCGGAAGCCCUGCUGGGCGGUGCUGCCGGCUCCAACCCCGGAAAGGCCACGUCCGAGAGAGCUCACCUACUUUCUCCUGGAGGGGCUGCGGUGGGGGCCUGCACAAGAAAGUGGCCUUACUCCCAAUAGCGGAAAUGGAGUUUCCCUUGUUUCACUUAAAAAUACAAUGGAAAAAAAUGCCUCUGUACAACAGCCUAAGCUGACAGUUGAUGUCUAACCCUGGGCUGUACUCACCACUAAACACUGAUAGAUGUUGUCAUUUUCAUGCUAAAGAAACCCCACUCACCCCAAAUAAUUUGUCAAAGAGUACUCAUGUAGACAGCAAGUUUUGGAAGGUGGAGAUGCUUAUCUGUCUUCUGUGAUGUGCCUGUGCCUGAUAGCUAGUAAAUAAGUUUAAAUGAAUUGACAUUGAAAUACACUACAGGCUUGGAAUUAAAAACAAAGAAGAAACCUAUUCCUACCCUCAGAGAAUGACCACUUCAUCGCAGAGGAGAUGAUGGCUGAAGUGCUUAUGCUCAUCAACGACUGUGGAAUUGGGUCUUGGAAUUUUAGUUCCUCUGUUAAACUUAGGAAAUGGAUGGCUGGAGGUCUGCGCCAGCCGAUGAGGGAUUGAUACACCUGAGAUUGCUUUACAAAACACUGCUUUUAGUGUUUAAUGACACAGGAUAGUGUCUACAGCAGUGGCAUGGAGCCAGAACAUGGGUUCUAGAAUCCAGAGAUGACUCGCAGGUUCCAUCUGAGUUCCUUAAAGGACAGUUUCUGCAACGUAGGUGUUCCAUGAUUGCUUGUUGAAUGAAUGAAUAGGAGUAUCUAUCACAACCAUGUCCACACUCAUUGGCUUUAGUGGAGUCAAGGCAAGGUAGAGAUAUUAAUGACAGAAUUCUGGUGAUAGGGGCCCCUACCACCAAUGGCAGUAUUAAGGGGUGAUUAGGGAGAAGGGUAGCUUUUAGUCUCUUUCAAGCCACGCAAACAAAGAUCACAGAAUCUAAGCAAAAGCAAAUGUCUUGCUUUACAGUUUCAAGACAAAGCCCCUGGAAGUUGCCCCCUUUUAAAUAGAUUGUCCCUUAGCCUUGCUACGCAAAUACACUGGAUCCUGUAACCAUGUUAGCCCUUAUCUGUAAUUUCACAAAGUCGGGUGGCAGGUAUUUGCUCAGGAAAUUGAGACAUUAGGUACUCACACUUUUAAAAAUAACACAUAAGGAAGGCAAUAAUAAUUACAUAAGAUAAUAUGUUCCAGGCUCUAUAUCUUGUUAUCUAAUUUAAUCUUCACUGUAACCCUGUAAUGUUAUUAUUAUUGCCCACAUUUUUGCAGAUGUGGAAAUGUCAGCUUAAAGAAGUGAAGUAACUAGGCGAAGGUCAUAGAGACAGCCAAUAUGCAAAUGCACAUCUGCCUUAUUCAACUCUUUCCAACAUACAGCGCUGGUACUUGAGUAUAUGAGGAGGCCUGUUUGUAUACCUCCGAGCAGAAUCAAAUAGGAAAUGUUUGCUAGAAAUAAAAAGGAAGCAUCAAAGGAAAAUAUGGAAGGGUCAACCAAAGGGUGAAUGGGCUUUGUCCUUUCUUCGCUGGAGGUCUGAGCUCAGAAGCCUGGGUCUCAAUAGCUCAUUCCUUUAGAAAUGAGGUUCUUUACACUUGGACUCAGGGAGGGGAACAUCACACACCAGGGCCUGUCAGGGGGUUGGGGGGUAGGGAAGGAAUAGCAUUAGGAAAAAUACCUAAUGUAGAUGAUGGGUUGGUGGACACAGCAAAUCACCAUGGCAUGUGUAUACCUAUGUAACAAACCUGCACGUUCUGCACAUGUAUCGCAGAACCUAAAGUAUAAUGUUUUUAAAUUAAAAAUAUAUAUAAAAAAGAAAUAACGUUCUUUAGAUAACAAAGGAAAGGGCAGUGAUUCCAAAAUCUUUCUCAGCUUUUAAAAUGCACACACUUUCAGGCCUUAGCUCCUGGGUAUUCUGAUCUAGUAGUACUGGGAUGGGGCCCUGGAAUCUGAAUUUUUAGCAAACAUGGCAAAUUUGAAACCCAGGAGAUGUGAUGUUAUCUGAUGUUAAUUCCUCCUCCAAUCAACCACUUAGGCUAAAUUCUUAAGGAUUCUUUGUUUGUUGAAUAGCAUCAAGUAGCAUCUCAAGGAACACCCUUUGGGAAAUGCUGCUGAGAGAAGCUAAGAACUUGCUUCACGAUCGUCAAGCACUGAAAAGGAUUCAUACUUGGGAAACUGGCAAACUGUUUUUCUGACCCUGACCCUUGCCAGUAGUAUAAUCAUGGGCAAGUCACUUGAUUUCUUCACAUGUAAAACAAAAUGAUAAUAUAUCCUCCAUGGACAGCCAUAGAGAGAAGAUUCAUUACAAAAUGCAUUUACGGUAGGAACAGAAGUUGACAAUAAAAGUUAAUAUUGUCACA